CUGCAGGGAAAGCCAUUCAAAUCCAACAGCCGUUCGACAAGGUGUGGCUGCACUGCAUUGAUGUGGAUUCUUAGGCCUGAUGACAAAGGAUGGUACAUACGCGAACACAAAUCAGAGCACAACCAUGCGCUUUCAGUUAACUGUAUGGAGAAAUUGUAUUGGAAGUUGCACCGACACAUAGAUAGAUAUGCGAGAGACCCGGCGAAAUAGCUGAGAGAGAACAACAUAAGCCUAAGCAAGGUUUACAAUGUUGUGGGGUUCUUUUUUGGAUCAGUGAAGGAGGUGCCAUUCAUGAAAGGAUCUUUGAAAACACUUUGUGGAAAACUUAAUAGAGAACAGUUGAAAAAUGAUGCCACAAAAACCAUAGAGGUGUUCAAAGCAAUGCGGGCUGAAGAUCCUAAGUACAAAUAUAGUGUACAGGUUGAUGAUGAUGGCCGAGUAAAAAUUCUGAUGUGGACGACCGGGCGAAGCAUUGAGCAGUUUAACUGUUUUGGUGAUGCUACAAACAUUUGGUAUCACGUAGUCCCUCCGUCCGAAAAUACUUGUCAUUAA
This 552-nucleotide ribosomal RNA is filed under the name Triticum aestivum (bread wheat). Its description in RNAcentral is "partial small subunit ribosomal RNA". Lineage: Eukaryota; Viridiplantae; Streptophyta; Magnoliopsida; Poales; Poaceae. The record is from RNAcentral.